Molecule: ribosomal RNA, 429 nt
Filed under: Chloroflexota bacterium
Lineage: Bacteria; Bacillati; Chloroflexota
Description: Chloroflexi bacterium partial 16S ribosomal RNA
Rfam family: Bacterial small subunit ribosomal RNA
Source: RNAcentral
UGGGGAAUAUUGCACAAUGGGCGCAAGCCUGAUGCAGCCAUGCCGCGUGUGUGAAGAAGGCCUUCGGGUUGUAAAGCACUUUCAGCGGGGAGGAAGGCGAUAAGGUUAAUAACCUUGUCGAUUGACGUUACCCGCAGAAGAAGCACCGGCUAACUCCGUGCCAGCAGCCGCGGUAAUACGGAGGGUGCAAGCGUUAAUCGGAGUUACUGGGCGUAAAGCGCACGCAGGCGGUCUGUCAAGUCGGAUGUGAAAUCCCCGGGCUCAACCUGGGAACUGCAUUCGAAACUGGCAGGCUAGAGUCUUGUAGAGGGGGGUAGAAUUCCAGGUGUAGCGGUGAAAUGCGUAGAGAUCUGGAGGAAUACCGGUGGCGAAGGCGGCCCCCUGGACAAAGACUGACGCUCAGGUGCGAAAGCGUGGGGAGCAAACAGG